This 548-nucleotide ribosomal RNA is filed under the name uncultured bacterium. Its description in RNAcentral is "bacterial SSU rRNA". It matches the Rfam family "Bacterial small subunit ribosomal RNA", at positions 94 to 640 of the family's 1533-position model. The record is from RNAcentral.
ACCGGCGCACGGGUGCGUAACGCGUAUGAAACCUGCCUUAUACUGGGGGAUAGCCCGAAGAAAUUCGGAUUAAUACCCCAUAACAAUAAGUUAUCGCAUGGUAAUUUAUUUAAAACUCCGGUGGUAUAAGAUGGUCAUGCGUGACAUUAGCUAGUUGGUGAGGUAACGGCUCACCAAGGCGACGAUGUCUAGGGGUUCUGAGAGGAAGGUCCCCCACACUGGUACUGAGACACGGACCAGACUCCUACGGGAGGCAGCAGUGAGGAAUAUUGGUCAAUGGGCGAAAGCCUGAACCAGCCAUGUCGCGUGCAGGAUGACUGCCCUAUGGGUUGUAAACUGCUUUUAUAUGGGAAGAAAUGCGAGUACGUGUACUUGGUUGCCGGUACCAUAUGAAUAAGCAUCGGCUAACUCCGUGCCAGCAGCCGCGGUAAUACGGAGGAUGCGAGCGUUAUCCGGAUUCAUUGGGUUUAAAGGGUGCGUAGGCGGAAGUGUAAGUCAGGGGUGAAAGUUUGCAGCUCAACUGUAAAAUUGCCUUUGAUACUGCAUUU